GAUGAAGAACGCAGCGAAAUGCGAUAAGUAAUGUGAAUUGCAGAAUUCAGUGAAUCAUCGAAUCUUUGAACGCACAUUGCGCCCUCUGGUAUUCCGGGGGGCAUGCCUGUUCGAGCGUCAUUUCACCACUCAAGCCUCGCUUGGUAUUGGGCAACGCGGUCCGCCGCGUGCCUCAAAUCGACCGGCUGGGUCUUCUGUCCCCUAAGCGUUGUGGAAACUAUUCGCUAAAGGGUGUUCGGGAGGCUACGCCGUAAAACAACCCCAUUUCUAAGGUUGACCUCGGAUCAGGUAGGGAUACCCGCUGAACUUAAGCAUAUCAAUAAGCGGAGGA
RNAcentral lists this unclassified non-coding RNA (331 nucleotides) under soil metagenome. Its description in RNAcentral is "partial contains 5.8S ribosomal RNA, internal transcribed spacer 2, and large subunit ribosomal RNA". The stretch from base 1 to 120 matches the Rfam family "5.8S ribosomal RNA", at positions 35 to 154 of the family's 154-position model. The record is from RNAcentral.